RNAcentral lists this long non-coding RNA (616 nucleotides) under Equus caballus (horse). RNAcentral's name for it is "lncRNA (ENSECAG00000051701.1)". The record is from RNAcentral. Lineage: Eukaryota; Metazoa; Chordata; Mammalia; Perissodactyla; Equidae.
CCCCUCGGACCCCUGCCCCCAUGGCAGGCAUGCUCCAUAGCUAAGGAGCCUAUACAUCCAGGCCGAGCUGUACGCCCAGCCCUCAGCAGGGAACUCAAGCAGAAGCAGCUGCUGGAUAAAUAAAUGCCCACUGACAGGACGAGCGUGGGGAACCCACACCGAGCCAGGUGGAAGAACGGCUCUGGCCAGGAGCCGGUAAACCAAGGCGAUUACAGCCUUCGGACCCAAGACACCACCCCGGAGCCCACAGCAUCUGCCAAUCUCGGUGAGCGCCUCCCGCGGACGUGCCAACCCCAGGUGGGUUUGGUGGCGGGUGGGUGGAAAGGUGCGCGGGAAGACCCCGCCUGGCUGAGGGCGGCGCCGGGGUGCACACAGCCCCGGCCCAGUGCCCAGCGCCCUGCCCCUUCCUCCUCCCUGUGGUGUCACGGAAGGCUUCCCCAGGGAGGGGACACCAACAGAGCUGGGGGUGAAGCUAGGGAGCGGGUCCCGAGAACAUCUGGGACAAGCUUUCUUGGCCGUGAUAUUUCUAUGACGCGCCCGCCUCCCUUGGCUUCCGGUUGGCUGUGUAUCUUUGUCUUUAUAUUUAAAGCCCCACCCUGUGUUGGUUCCUCUGCAC